AUUCCGGUUGAUCCUGCCGGAGGACAUUGCUAUUGGGAUUCGAUUUAGCCAUGCUAGUCGAACGAGUUCAGACUCGUGGCGAAUAGCUCAGUAACACGUGGCCAAGCUCCCCUUCAGUCAGCGAUACCCUCGGGAAACUGAGGUUAACAGCUGAUACACAACGCCAGCUGGAAUGCGGCGUUUCAGAAAGACAUCGCUGAAGGAUGCGGCUGCGGCCGAUUAGGUAGACGGUGGGGUAACGGCCCACCGUGCCAGUAAUCGGUACGGGUGAUGAGAGUCAGAGCCCGGAGACGGAAUCUGAGACAAGAUUCCGGGCCCUACGGGGCGCAGCAGGCGCGAAACCUUUACACUGCACGGAAGUGCGAUAGGGGAAUCCCAAGUGCGAGGGCAUAUUACCCCUCGCUUUUCUCGACUGUAAGGUGGCCGACGAAUAAGAGCUGGGCAAGACCGGUGCCAGCCGCCGCGGCAAUACCGGCAGCUCAAGUGAUGUCCCAUAUUAUUGGGCCUAAAGCGUCCGUAGCU
RNAcentral lists this ribosomal RNA (522 nucleotides) under uncultured haloarchaeon. RNAcentral's name for it is "bacterial SSU rRNA". It matches the Rfam family "Archaeal small subunit ribosomal RNA", at positions 1 to 526 of the family's 1478-position model. The record is from RNAcentral. Lineage: Archaea; Methanobacteriati; Methanobacteriota; Halobacteria; Halobacteriales; Halobacteriaceae.